GUAUCCUGACCGUGCUAAGGUAGCAUAAUAAUUUGCCUUUUAAUUGGAGGCUAGUAUGAACGGACAAACGAGAGUAUAGCUGUCUCACUAUUAACCGUGUAAAUUAACCUUCAAGUGAAGAGGCUUGAAUAAUAUAAAAAGACGAAAAGACCCUAUGGAGCUUCACUUACCUAGCAAACAUAGUAGACCCACACUACUAACUUUCUAAAAAGUUCAGUUGGGGCGACUAAGGAGCACUAUUAAAGCCUCCUCACCACCAAAAGAAAAUAGCUCUAUAAAAGAUCCACAAACGUGAACAAAGAAUCAGCUACCCUAGGGAUAACAGGCUAAUCCUUCUCGAGAGCCCGAAUUGACAGAAGGGGUUGGCACCUCGAUGUUGGCUUAAGGUACCUCUAAAGUGCAGCCGCUUUAGUAGUGGGUUUGUUCAACCUUUAAAACCUUACGUGAUCUGAGUUCA
Molecule: ribosomal RNA, 457 nt
Filed under: Spionidae sp. 2 LMG-2016
Lineage: Eukaryota; Metazoa; Annelida; Polychaeta; Spionida; Spionidae
Description: partial 16S ribosomal RNA
Rfam family: Bacterial large subunit ribosomal RNA
Source: RNAcentral